CAGCAGCCGCGGUAAUACGUAGGGUGCGAGCGUUAAUCGGAUUUACUGGGCGUAAAGCGUGCGCAGGCGGCCCGUUAAGACAGGUGUGAAAUCCCUGGGCUCAACCUAGGAAUUGCGCUUGUGACUGGCGGGCUCGAGUACGGUAGAGGGGGGUGGAAUUCCUGGUGUAGCAGUGAAAUGCGUAGAGAUCAGGAGGAACACCGAUGGCGAAGGCAGCCCCCUGGGCCUGUACUGACGCUCAUGCACGAAAGCGUGGGGAGCAAACAGGAUUAGAUACCCUGGUAGUCCACGCCCUAAACGAUGGGUACUAGCCGUUUGGUGCGCGAUAGCGCUGAGUGGCGAAGCUAACGCGUGAAGUCCCCCGCCUGGGGAGUACGGCCGCAAGGUUGAAACUUAAAGGAAUUGGCGGG
This 410-nucleotide ribosomal RNA is filed under the name uncultured microorganism. Its description in RNAcentral is "bacterial SSU rRNA". It matches the Rfam family "Bacterial small subunit ribosomal RNA", at positions 509 to 917 of the family's 1533-position model. The record is from RNAcentral.